This 497-nucleotide ribosomal RNA is filed under the name uncultured bacterium. RNAcentral describes it as "partial 16S ribosomal RNA". It matches the Rfam family "Bacterial small subunit ribosomal RNA", at positions 28 to 507 of the family's 1533-position model. The record is from RNAcentral.
GAGGAAGGCGGGCGGCGUGCCUAAUACAUGCAAGUCGAGCGAACGGACGAGAAGCUUGCUUCUCUGAUGUUAGCGGCGGACGGGUGAGUAACACGUGGAUAACCUACCUAUAAGACUGGGAUAACUUCGGGAAACCGUAGCUAAUACCGGAUAAUAUUUUGAACCGCAUGGUUCAAAAGUGAAAGACGGUCUUGCUGUCACUUAUAGAUGGAUCCGCGCUGCAUUAGCUAGUUGGUAAGGUAACGGCUUACCAAGGCAACGAUGCAUAGCCGACCUGAGAGGGUGAUCGGCCACACUGGAACUGAGACACGGUCCAGACUCCUACGGGAGGCAGCAGUAGGGAAUCUUCCGCAAUGGGCGAAAGCCUGACGGAGCAACGCCGCGUGAGUGAUGAAGGUCUUCGGAUCGUAAAACUCUGUUAUUAGGGAAGAACAUAUGUGUAAGUAACUGUACACAUCUUGACGGUACCUAAUCAGAAAGCCACGGCUAACUACGUG